GGAGGGGUGUUAGAGUGGUCGAAUAAACCGGUCUUGAAAACCGGCGUGGUGCAAGCCACCGUGGGUUCGAAUCCCACCCCCUCCGCCA
RNAcentral lists this transfer RNA (88 nucleotides) under Nitrospirota bacterium. RNAcentral describes it as "tRNA-Ser". It matches the Rfam family "tRNA". From Rfam's summary of the family: Transfer RNA (tRNA) molecules are approximately 80 nucleotides in length. The record is from RNAcentral. Lineage: Bacteria; Pseudomonadati; Nitrospirota.